GUGGGGAAUCUUGCGCAAUGGGCGAAAGCCUGACGCAGCCAUGCCGCGUGAAUGAUGAAGGUCUUAGGAUUGUAAAAUUCUUUCACCGGGGACGAUAAUGACGGUACCCGGAGAAGAAGCUCCGGCUAACUUCGUGCCAGCAGCCGCGGUAAUACGAAGGGGGCUAGCGUUGCUCGGAAUUGCUGGGCGUAAAGGGCGCGUAGGCGGACAGCUUAGUCAGAGGUGAAAGCCCAGGGCUCAACCUUGGAAUUGCCUUUGAUACUGGCUGUCUUGAGUUUGGGAGAGGUGAGUGGAACUCCGAGUGUAGAGGUGAAAUUCGUAGAUAUUCGGAAGAACACCAGUGGCGAAGGCGACUCACUGGCCCAAUACUGACGCUGAGGCGCGAAAGCGUGGGGAGCAAACAGGAUUAGAUACCCCGGUAGUCC
Molecule: ribosomal RNA, 425 nt
Filed under: uncultured bacterium
Lineage: Bacteria
Description: partial 16S ribosomal RNA
Rfam family: Bacterial small subunit ribosomal RNA
Source: RNAcentral